This 492-nucleotide ribosomal RNA is filed under the name uncultured bacterium. RNAcentral describes it as "partial 16S ribosomal RNA". It matches the Rfam family "Bacterial small subunit ribosomal RNA", at positions 29 to 507 of the family's 1533-position model. The record is from RNAcentral.
AGUGAACGCUGGCGGUAGGCCUAACACAUGCAAGUCGAACGGCAGCACAGUAAGAGCUUGCUCUUACGGGUGGCGAGUGGCGGACGGGUGAGGAAUACAUCGGAAUCUACUUUUUCGUGGGGGAUAACGUAGGGAAACUUACGCUAAUACCGCAUACGACCUACGGGUGAAAGCAGGGGAUCUUCGGACCUUGCGCGAUUGAAUGAGCCGAUGUCGGAUUAGCUAGUUGGCGGGGUAAAGGCCCACCAAGGCGACGAUCCGUAGCUGGUCUGAGAGGAUGAUCAGCCACACUGGAACUGAGACACGGUCCAGACUCCUACGGGAGGCAGCAGUGGGGAAUAUUGGACAAUGGGCGCAAGCCUGAUCCAGCCAUACCGCGUGGGUGAAGAAGGCCUUCGGGUUGUAAAGCCCUUUUGUUGGGAAAGAAAAGCAGCAGGUUAAUACCCCGCUGUUCUGACGGUGCCCAAAGAAUAAGCACCUGCUAACUUCGUG